AAUCAACGCUGGCGGCGUGCCUAACACAUGCAAGUCGAACGCGAAAGUCCUUCGGGGAUGAGUAGAGUGGCGUCCGGGUGAGUAACGCGUGGGUAAUCUACCUUCGGGUGGGGAAUAACUCAGGGAAACUUGAGCUAAUACCGCAUAAUGCAGCGGCUCGACAUCGAGACAGUUGUUAAAGCAGCAAUGCGCCUGAAGAGGAGCCUGCGUCUGAUUAGCUAGUUGGUAAGGUAAUGGCUUACCAAGGCUACGAUCAGUAGCUGGUCUGAGAGGACGGCCAGCCACAAUGGCACUGAAACACGGGCCAUACUCCUACGGGAGGCAGCAGUGGGGAAUUUUGCGCAAUGGGC
RNAcentral lists this ribosomal RNA (350 nucleotides) under uncultured Pseudomonadota bacterium. Its description in RNAcentral is "bacterial SSU rRNA". It matches the Rfam family "Bacterial small subunit ribosomal RNA", at positions 32 to 376 of the family's 1533-position model. The record is from RNAcentral. Lineage: Bacteria; Pseudomonadati; Pseudomonadota.